CUUCUCGAAACCUCCAACAAUGAAGAAGCUGGUCACUCUGAUGCUCGUCUACAUGCUUUUCUCCGAAGCUUUACAGGCUUCUGCAGCUCUGAAGUGUUGCAAGGGUUUUGGGCCAGCAUGUUUGCCUGUGGAGUGUUCUAGAUUCGCUGCAUGACCAAAACCGAGGGAAUUAUGAGCACACUGAAACUUCCUGAAAAAAAAUGUUCAACCAGGGCUGAGUGUGUUGUGACACUAAUAUGUGUAACAGUGCUGAGGGGGUUAAGCUGAGUCUCCUCAUCAUGCUGGUCCCUCUGAUCUCCUCCAUCCUCUUCAUCUGAACUCUCUGCUACUCCUCUCUCAGAGAUUCAACUCUAACAGGUGUAACAGAAAUAGUGCAAAUAUACUGUCUGGAAACAAUUACAUAAUUUUACUACAUUUAUCAGCUGUACUCUCAGAUAAAAUGUGAUAAAUGUAAUAGAUUAGAAUAGAUUAUACUGUAACUUCUGUAAUGUCUGCGUAUCAGUAAACAGUGUGAAGAGCCUUAGAG
Long non-coding RNA from Colossoma macropomum (tambaqui), 526 nucleotides. RefSeq lists it as uncharacterized. The record is from RefSeq and is a predicted model, not a curated record. Lineage: Eukaryota; Metazoa; Chordata; Actinopteri; Characiformes; Serrasalmidae. The transcript is spliced from 3 exons.